UAUGGCUAGGGUUCUGCUCCUGGGCGUGUUCGACAUAGAAACACUGAUCCAGAGCAACUUGAGGGGAGGUGAAUCAAAAGUUGCACAAGGGGAGCAGCGUCGGAGUGGCCUUGAGUGGUUAAAAGUCAAAGCUAUUAUGUAUGCUGUUAUGUUAAAGCACCAGGGGGUAACCCAAGGCCAAAUUGGAAUGGCUUUAAAUUGUAAAAUGGCGG
Molecule: long non-coding RNA, 212 nt
Organism: Megalops cyprinoides (Indo-Pacific tarpon)
Lineage: Eukaryota; Metazoa; Chordata; Actinopteri; Elopiformes; Megalopidae
Exons: 3
Source: RefSeq, a predicted model, not a curated record